This 497-nucleotide ribosomal RNA is filed under the name uncultured bacterium. RNAcentral's name for it is "partial 16S ribosomal RNA". It matches the Rfam family "Bacterial small subunit ribosomal RNA", at positions 28 to 507 of the family's 1533-position model. The record is from RNAcentral.
GAUGAACGCUGGCGGCGUGCCUAAUACAUGCAAGUCGAGCGAACAGACGAGGAGCUUGCUCCUCUGACGUUAGCGGCGGACGGGUGAGUCACACGUGGAUAACCUACCUAUAAGACUGGGAUAACUUCGGGAAACCGGAUCUAAUACCGGAUAAUAUAUUGAACCGCAUGGUUCAAUAGUGAAAAACGGUUUUGCUGUCACUUCUAGAUGUUUCCCGGCCGCAUUAGCUAGUUGGUAAGGUAACGGCUUACCAAGGCAACGAUGCGUAGCCGACCUGAGAGGGUGAUCGGCCACACUGGAACUGAGACACGGUCCAGACUCCUACGGGAGGCAGCAGUGGGGAAUCUUCCGCAAUGGGCGAAAGCUUGACGGAGCAACGCCGCGUGAGUGAUGAAGGUCUUCGGAUCGUAAAACUCUGUUAUUAGGGAAGAACAAAUGUGUAAGUAACUAUGCACGUCUUGACGGUACCUAAUCAGAAAGCCACGGCUAACUACGUG